GUGAGGAAUAUUGGUCAAUGGGCGCAAGCCUGAACCAGCCAUGCCGCGUGCAGGAAGACGGUCCUAUGGAUUGUAAACUGCUUUUAUUUGGGAAUAAACUCCGGUACGUGUACCGGCCUGAAGGUACCAAAUGAAUAAGCACCGGCUAACUCCGUGCCAGCAGCCGCGGUAAUACGGAGGGUGCAAGCGUUAUCCGGAAUCAUUGGGUUUAAAGGGUCCGCAGGCGGUCUUAUAAGUCAGUGGUGAAAGCCUACAGCUCAACUGUAGAACUGCCAUUGAUACUGUAGGACUUGAAUUCGAUCGAAGUGGGCGGAAUGUGACAUGUAGCGGUGAAAUGCUUAGAUAUGUCACAGAACACCGAUAGCGAAGGCAGCUCACUAGGUCUGAAUUGACGCUCAGGGACGAAAGCGUGGGGAGCAAACAGGAUUAGAUACCCGGGUAGUCC
This 445-nucleotide ribosomal RNA is filed under the name uncultured bacterium. RNAcentral's name for it is "partial 16S ribosomal RNA". It matches the Rfam family "Bacterial small subunit ribosomal RNA", at positions 354 to 796 of the family's 1533-position model. The record is from RNAcentral.